Molecule: ribosomal RNA, 301 nt
Filed under: uncultured bacterium
Lineage: Bacteria
Description: partial 16S ribosomal RNA
Rfam family: Bacterial small subunit ribosomal RNA
Source: RNAcentral
CAGUCGCCACGGUAAUACGGAGGGCGCGAGCGUUACCCGGAUUUACUGGGCGUAAAGGGCGUGUAGGCGGCCUGGGGCGUCCCAUGUGAAAGGCCACGGCUCAACCGUGGAGGAGCGUGGGAUACGCUCAGGCUAGAGGGUGGGAGAGGGUGGUGGAAUUCCCGGAGUGGCGGUGAAAUGCGCAGAUACCGGGAGGAACGCCGAUGGCGAAGGCAGCCACCUGGUCCACUUCUGACGCUGAGGCGCGAAAGCGUGGGGAGCAAACCGGAUUAGAUACCCCUGUAGUCCCUGUCUCUUAUAA